GGUGGUGGUUGAUACAGGUGAUGGUUGUGAUGUGACGUUGCUUGAUGUUACCAGUUGAAAGUGUUGAUUGUGAUGACUGAAAAAUGAAUGAAUGAUGGUUGACGAUGUGUUGGUGUUAGUUGGAGAUGCUGAUAGUUGUGAUGGUGGAGAUGAUUGUUAGUAGAGAUAAAUAGUAGCGAUGGUAGUGGCUGAAGUUAUAAUAGAGGUGGCAUUACUAGUGAUAAUGGUGGUGGCGGCCGAAGAAUGUGUGGAGGUUGUGAUGUAUUAGUGGUAGUUAGCGGUGAUGUUAGUUGUGAUAGAUGAGUUGAUUGAUAGUAGGGAUUGGCCGGUAGUGGUUGAUGAUGGUGGUGCUGUUGACGACGGUGGUAGCGGUGAAUAUAAUAAGAAUAAUAAAGGCAGUAAGUGUGGUAACGAUUGACAAUAGUAGUUGGUAGCUAUAUUUGUUGUCGAUGGUGGUUGUGAUGGUGGAGGUGGUUGGUGGUGGUUGACAAUGGUGGCGGUGGCAGAGGUGGUUAGAGGUGGUUAGAGGUGGUUAGUGGUGGUGACUGAUAAUUAUGAAUAGAGUGAUGGUGAAUAUUAUCCAACACCACAAUACCUCUUUAGACUUGAUUCU
RNAcentral lists this long non-coding RNA (613 nucleotides) under Capsicum annuum. RNAcentral describes it as "long non-coding RNA (CANN_LNC017250)". The record is from RNAcentral. Lineage: Eukaryota; Viridiplantae; Streptophyta; Magnoliopsida; Solanales; Solanaceae.